CAGAAAGAACCAAAAAGCCUGCUGCAGUGAACUCCAGUGGUGAUGGAGUUUCGAGUCAACAGCUGGUUAACAUUAUCAGACUGAGUCGUGGUGCAGAAGUGACAGCUGGAUGGGAGCCAGGAAUGUCAACUACUCUAAUGCAGUCCUUCUGUCCACUUUACCCAUCACCAAGAACAAGAAGAGUAAUAAACAACACAGUCUGAUUUUUGCCUUGUAUUGUUUUCUUUCCUUGUUCAUCUUACUAGAUACAAGCAAGGUAUCACCACACAGUAGGUAUGAGCCCUU
Long non-coding RNA from Pipistrellus kuhlii (Kuhl's pipistrelle), 285 nucleotides. RefSeq lists it as uncharacterized. Lineage: Eukaryota; Metazoa; Chordata; Mammalia; Chiroptera; Vespertilionidae. The transcript is spliced from 2 exons. The record is from RefSeq and is a predicted model, not a curated record.